This 2928-nucleotide ribosomal RNA is filed under the name Staphylococcus aureus. Its description in RNAcentral is "bacterial LSU rRNA". It matches the Rfam family "Bacterial large subunit ribosomal RNA". The record is from RNAcentral. Lineage: Bacteria; Bacillati; Bacillota; Bacilli; Caryophanales; Staphylococcaceae. RNAcentral also lists the same sequence under 1 other name.
AGAUUAAGUUAUUAAGGGCGCACGGUGGAUGCCUUGGCACUAGAAGCCGAUGAAGGACGUUACUAACGACGAUAUGCUUUGGGGAGCUGUAAGUAAGCUUUGAUCCAGAGAUUUCCGAAUGGGGAAACCCAGCAUGAGUUAUGUCAUGUUAUCGAUAUGUGAAUACAUAGCAUAUCAGAAGGCACACCCGGAGAACUGAAACAUCUUAGUACCCGGAGGAAGAGAAAGAAAAUUCGAUUCCCUUAGUAGCGGCGAGCGAAACGGGAAGAGCCCAAACCAACAAGCUUGCUUGUUGGGGUUGUAGGACACUCUAUACGGAGUUACAAAGGACGACAUUAGACGAAUCAUCUGGAAAGAUGAAUCAAAGAAGGUAAUAAUCCUGUAGUCGAAAAUGUUGUCUCUCUUGAGUGGAUCCUGAGUACGACGGAGCACGUGAAAUUCCGUCGGAAUCUGGGAGGACCAUCUCCUAAGGCUAAAUACUCUCUAGUGACCGAUAGUGAACCAGUACCGUGAGGGAAAGGUGAAAAGCACCCCGGAAGGGGAGUGAAAUAGAACCUGAAACCGUGUGCUUACAAGUAGUCAGAGCCCGUUAAUGGGUGAUGGCGUGCCUUUUGUAGAAUGAACCGGCGAGUUACGAUUUGAUGCAAGGUUAAGCAGUAAAUGUGGAGCCGUAGCGAAAGCGAGUCUGAAUAGGGCGUUUAGUAUUUGGUCGUAGACCCGAAACCAGGUGAUCUACCCUUGGUCAGGUUGAAGUUCAGGUAACACUGAAUGGAGGACCGAACCGACUUACGUUGAAAAGUGAGCGGAUGAACUGAGGGUAGCGGAGAAAUUCCAAUCGAACCUGGAGAUAGCUGGUUCUCUCCGAAAUAGCUUUAGGGCUAGCCUCAAGUGAUGAUUAUUGGAGGUAGAGCACUGUUUGGACGAGGGGCCCCUCUCGGGUUACCGAAUUCAGACAAACUCCGAAUGCCAAUUAAUUUAACUUGGGAGUCAGAACAUGGGUGAUAAGGUCCGUGUUCGAAAGGGAAACAGCCCAGACCACCAGCUAAGGUCCCAAAAUAUAUGUUAAGUGGAAAAGGAUGUGGCGUUGCCCAGACAACUAGGAUGUUGGCUUAGAAGCAGCCAUCAUUUAAAGAGUGCGUAAUAGCUCACUAGUCGAGUGACACUGCGCCGAAAAUGUACCGGGGCUAAACAUAUUACCGAAGCUGUGGAUUGUCCUUUGGACAAUGGUAGGAGAGCGUUCUAAGGGCGUUGAAGCAUGAUCGUAAGGACAUGUGGAGCGCUUAGAAGUGAGAAUGCCGGUGUGAGUAGCGAAAGACGGGUGAGAAUCCCGUCCACCGAUUGACUAAGGUUUCCAGAGGAAGGCUCGUCCGCUCUGGGUUAGUCGGGUCCUAAGCUGAGGCCGACAGGCGUAGGCGAUGGAUAACAGGUUGAUAUUCCUGUACCACCUAUAAUCGUUUUAAUCGAUGGGGGGGACGCAGUAGGAUAGGCGAAGCGUGCGAUUGGAUUGCACGUCUAAGCAGUAAGGCUGAGUAUUAGGCAAAUCCGGUACUCAUUAAGGCUGAGCUGUGAUGGGGAGAAGACAUUGUGUCUUCGAGUCGUUGAUUUCACACUGCCGAGAAAAGCCUCUAGAUAGAAAAUAGGUGCCCGUACCGCAAACCGACACAGGUAGUCAAGAUGAGAAUUCUAAGGUGAGCGAGCGAACUCUCGUUAAGGAACUCGGCAAAAUGACCCCGUAACUUCGGGAGAAGGGGUGCUCUUUAGGGUUAACGCCCAGAAGAGCCGCAGUGAAUAGGCCCAAGCGACUGUUUAUCAAAAACACAGGUCUCUGCUAAACCGUAAGGUGAUGUAUAGGGGCUGACGCCUGCCCGGUGCUGGAAGGUUAAGAGGAGUGGUUAGCUUCUGCGAAGCUACGAAUCGAAGCCCCAGUAAACGGCGGCCGUAACUAUAACGGUCCUAAGGUAGCGAAAUUCCUUGUCGGGUAAGUUCCGACCCGCACGAAAGGCGUAACGAUUUGGGCACUGUCUCAACGAGAGACUCGGUGAAAUCAUAGUACCUGUGAAGAUGCAGGUUACCCGCGACAGGACGGAAAGACCCCGUGGAGCUUUACUGUAGCCUGAUAUUGAAAUUCGGCACAGCUUGUACAGGAUAGGUAGGAGCCUUUGAAACGUGAGCGCUAGCUUACGUGGAGGCGCUGGUGGGAUACUACCCUAGCUGUGUUGGCUUUCUAACCCGCACCACUUAUCGUGGUGGGAGACAGUGUCAGGCGGGCAGUUUGACUGGGGCGGUCGCCUCCUAAAAGGUAACGGAGGCGCUCAAAGGUUCCCUCAGAAUGGUUGGAAAUCAUUCAUAGAGUGUAAAGGCAUAAGGGAGCUUGACUGCGAGACCUACAAGUCGAGCAGGGUCGAAAGACGGACUUAGUGAUCCGGUGGUUCCGCAUGGAAGGGCCAUCGCUCAACGGAUAAAAGCUACCCCGGGGAUAACAGGCUUAUCUCCCCCAAGAGUUCACAUCGACGGGGAGGUUUGGCACCUCGAUGUCGGCUCAUCGCAUCCUGGGGCUGUAGUCGGUCCCAAGGGUUGGGCUGUUCGCCCAUUAAAGCGGUACGCGAGCUGGGUUCAGAACGUCGUGAGACAGUUCGGUCCCUAUCCGUCGUGGGCGUAGGAAAUUUGAGAGGAGCUGUCCUUAGUACGAGAGGACCGGGAUGGACAUACCUCUGGUGUACCAGUUGUCGUGCCAACGGCAUAGCUGGGUAGCUAUGUGUGGACGGGAUAAGUGCUGAAAGCAUCUAAGCAUGAAGCCCCCCUCAAGAUGAGAUUUCCCAACUUCGGUUAUAAGAUCCCUCAAAGAUGAUGAGGUUAAUAGGUUCGAGGUGGAAGCAUGGUGACAUGUGGAGCUGACGAAUACUAAUCGAUCGAAGACUUAAUCAAAUU